This 315-nucleotide ribosomal RNA is filed under the name uncultured eukaryote. RNAcentral's name for it is "partial 18S ribosomal RNA". It matches the Rfam family "Eukaryotic small subunit ribosomal RNA", at positions 1470 to 1796 of the family's 1831-position model. The record is from RNAcentral.
CCCUUAGACGUUCUGGGCCGCACGCGCGCUACACUGACCAGUGCAACAAGCAUCCGUCCUUGGCCGACAGGCUCGGGCAAUCUUUGAACGCUGGUCGUGAUGGGGAUAGACUUUUGCAAUUUUUGGUCUUCAACGAGGAAUUCCUAGUAAACGCAAGCCAUCAACUUGCAUUGAUUACGUCCCUGCCCUUUGUACACACCGCCCGUCGCACCUACCGAUUGAAUGGUCCGGUGAAGCCUCCGGAUUGGCGCGCACCUCGGUGCCGCCGAGAAGUUGGCUAAACCUUACCAUUUAGAGGAAGGUGAAGUCGUANCA